GAUGGGGAAAUCAUGAAGAUCAGGCCUGCAUGAAAACACUUCAUUAAUUUCAUCUCCAAACAAUCAUGUUGACUUUCAGUAGUCUGGGGCAGAAGGGUAACUGGAUUCAUAUUAUUGACAGUUUCGAGGUGUACUCUUGGAUUUUCACAUAACAUAGCUUGAUAAUUGGUCAUUCGACUAUUACUAAACCAAUGAUUUCCUUUGUAAUCCAAUAGGG
Molecule: non-coding RNA, 217 nt
Organism: Pelobates cultripes (western spadefoot toad)
Lineage: Eukaryota; Metazoa; Chordata; Amphibia; Anura; Pelobatidae
Source: the annotation of a GenBank genome assembly